GUCCAGGGGCGGGAAUCGAACCCACGACCUUCCGCUUACCGCGCAGAUGCCAUGUCCACUAGGCUACCCUGGA
This 73-nucleotide transfer RNA is filed under the name Cordylochernes scorpioides. Its description in RNAcentral is "tRNA-Thr". The record is from RNAcentral. Lineage: Eukaryota; Metazoa; Arthropoda; Arachnida; Pseudoscorpiones; Chernetidae.